GGUACUAAUUAAAAAUACGGCUUCCAGAGCCCUACCUCAGAGCUAUUAAGUCAGAAACUCUGGGGGUGGGGUCCAGGAAUCUCCAUUUUUAAC
This 93-nucleotide microRNA precursor is filed under the name Pteropus vampyrus (large flying fox). Its description in RNAcentral is "miRNA (ENSPVAG00000024906.1)". The record is from RNAcentral. Lineage: Eukaryota; Metazoa; Chordata; Mammalia; Chiroptera; Pteropodidae.